Molecule: ribosomal RNA, 400 nt
Filed under: bacterium Ellin5029
Lineage: Bacteria; Pseudomonadati; Pseudomonadota; Alphaproteobacteria; Hyphomicrobiales; Nitrobacteraceae
Description: bacterial SSU rRNA
Rfam family: Bacterial small subunit ribosomal RNA
Source: RNAcentral
GCUUAACACAUGCAAGUCGAGCGGGCGUAGCAAUACGUCAGCGGCAGACGGGUGAGUAACGCGUGGGAACAUACCUUUUGGUUCGGAACAACACAGGGAAACUUGUGCUAAUACCGGAUAAGCCCUUACGGGGAAAGAUUUAUCGCCGAAAGAUUGGCCCGCGUCUGAUUAGCUAGUUGGUGAGGUAACGGCUCACCAAGGCGACGAUCAGUAGCUGGUCUGAGAGGAUGAUCAGCCACAUUGGGACUGAGACACGGCCCAAACUCCUACGGGAGGCAGCAGUGGGGAAUAUUGGACAAUGGGCGCAAGCCUGAUCCAGCCAUGCCGCGUGAGUGAUGAAGGCCCUAGGGUUGUAAAGCUCUUUUGUGCGGGAAGAUAAUGACGGUACCGCAAGAAUAAG